This 292-nucleotide long non-coding RNA is filed under the name Zonotrichia albicollis (white-throated sparrow). RNAcentral describes it as "lncRNA (ENSZALG00000006562.1)". The record is from RNAcentral. Lineage: Eukaryota; Metazoa; Chordata; Aves; Passeriformes; Passerellidae.
CAGAGCUCCAGGCUAGAAGCCAAGUCACACAGGGCAUGAGCAGCUUCAGAAAUAACCACCAUUCAGGUUUGUUUACUGCAAGGAGCUCUCGAAGGAAACCAUCAAAUUAAGGAAAAUAAAGUUUUCCUUUGCCUCUGUACCUGCAGGAAGAAAAUCUCUUGGCAAGCAUCGGGUUAUGGACUUUGUUUCCAUUUGGACCAUUCUGCUUCCUGCUGAAAAUGAGCAACUGACUGCACUGGAAACUUUCUGCAAUUUGCUCAGACUAACAGCUUGGAUGCCUGCUGGAUUCUGA